Molecule: transfer RNA, 94 nt
Filed under: Tsukamurella tyrosinosolvens
Lineage: Bacteria; Bacillati; Actinomycetota; Actinomycetes; Mycobacteriales; Tsukamurellaceae
Description: tRNA-Pro(cgg)
Source: RNAcentral
CGUCGCGUGGACCAGGUCGUCGAGGUCGCCGCUGCGGAUCCGGUCGACGAGGGCGUUGAAGCUCUCCUCACCGGUCACCGCGGUGCGCAGCGCC